This 251-nucleotide ribosomal RNA is filed under the name uncultured prokaryote. Its description in RNAcentral is "partial 16S rRNA". It matches the Rfam family "Bacterial small subunit ribosomal RNA", at positions 525 to 775 of the family's 1533-position model. The record is from RNAcentral.
ACGUAGGGUGCAAGCGUUGUUCGGAAUUACUGGGCGUAAAGGGCGCGUAGGCGGUUGUGUAAGUCAGAUGUGAAAUCCCCAGGCUCAACCUGGGAACUGCAUCUGAUACUGCAUGACUUGAGUGCAGCAGAGGGGAACGGAAUUCCUCGUGUAGCGGUGAAAUGCGUAGAGAUGAGGAGGAACACCGGUGGCGAAGGCGGUUUCCUGGGCUGAAACUGACACUGAGGCGCGAAAGCGUGGGUAGCGAACAG